GAGUUUGAUCUUGGCUCAGAUUGAACGCUGGCGGCAUGCCUUACACAUGCAAGUCGAACGGCAGCAUGAUCUAGCUUGCUAGAUUGAUGGCGAGUGGCGAACGGGUGAGUAAUACAUCGGAACGUGCCCUGUAGUGGGGGAUAACUAGUCGAAAGAUUAGCUAAUACCGCAUACGACCUGAGGGUGAAAGUGGGGGACCGCAAGGCCUCAUGCUAUAGGAGCGGCCGAUGUCUGAUUAGCUAGUUGGUGGGUAAAGGCCCACCAAGGCGACGAUCAGUAGCUGGUCUGAGAGGACGAUCAGCCACACUGGGACUGAGACACGGCCCAGACUCCUACGGGAGGCAGCAGUGGGAAUUUUGGGCAAUGGGCGAAAGCCUGAUCCAGCAAUGCCGCGUGUGUGAAGAAGGCC
RNAcentral lists this ribosomal RNA (409 nucleotides) under uncultured microorganism. RNAcentral's name for it is "bacterial SSU rRNA". It matches the Rfam family "Bacterial small subunit ribosomal RNA", at positions 9 to 416 of the family's 1533-position model. The record is from RNAcentral.